Molecule: non-coding RNA, 6803 nt
Organism: Notechis scutatus (mainland tiger snake)
Lineage: Eukaryota; Metazoa; Chordata; Lepidosauria; Squamata; Elapidae
Source: RefSeq, a predicted model, not a curated record
CAGCCUAGGAAGUGGGCAUACCUGUCAAGGAGAAAACAAACCACCCAUAUGGUCCCCAAAACUUCUGUGAUUGAAAGGAAAAUCAUUAUUUUAUAUAGUUUCAAAUAACCCAGGCUCAAGUCAUAAACAAACUUAACUUCUGUAAACAUUUAAUAAUAUAGGAUCAGUCCUAAAACACAAAUUCAGAAGCAUACAAUAUCAAAAAGCUGAGUCCGAGUUGCCUAAGAGCAUUGGGAAUCCUGAAUUUUUUGUUUAAUGAUAUUAAAUUUCAGUCAGGUUUCCUUUGGAAUAUUAAUAGCUUUGAACCUUAUGCUUACAAUUAAUUUACUUGUUCACAAAUCAAUUAUUAUGAAUACUCUUCUGCCAUGUCAUUCCAAGGAAAUCAAGCACUCUGAAAUAGCUGAAAUUCUAUUUCCUGGAGAAUUAGAAUAAGCAUUACAUUACUCUCAAGAUGUGGAAAAAAGCAAACAUUAAUGAAAUGAAAAUCCAUUUUAUUAGAAAUACAAGACACACAUUAUUUGAAAAUAGUGAACAAUAAUUAGCAUUGUAAAUAAGAAGAGGUGCAGGGAGCCACGCUCUGGGACUUGCUUUAUACACUGAUGUUUUUUCUUGUGAUUUCCAAUUCUUAAGAUGUUUUUCUCUCAGAAAUUUAAGUAGUGAUGUAGCAACACCAAAUCUGAUGUAGAGAAUUAUUGAAAUAAAUAAAUAAAUAUCCACUGUUCUCUCAUACAUACCAUGGGAUUCAGAUUGCAAAUUUGCAGUGUACCUGUGUAUUCCUGUGAUAUGGUGAUUAGAUAUUAUUUGGCAAGUAAAUAGCUGAGUUACUAUGUACAGCAGCUUUUAAAAAAUGUUUGCAAAUGUUUUAUCUACUUAUAAAUUUCACAGGGUGAUUAUGGUCUUUGUGUAUAUGUAAACAGAUCUGUGAAUGGAAAUGUUAUUUUUGUUUGUUUCUAAAAAUUGGAGAGAGAAGGCUUUGUGACAGCUAGUCAAUAAAUAUCCUAUUCUAACCAAUUUUUGCUGAUAAACAAUUUAUCUAAUAGAGAAGGCAGAACAUGUGUACAGACAACAAUAAGAAUACCACAACAAUAUUCAUAAAUGUUAUAAUCUGGAGAUGUACUAUUUUCAGAUGUGCCUGCCUUCUUAAAUUCAGGGUGGGGACAGAAGAAACAAAAUGGACACCUCCAUUAAUACUAUCCUGUAUUGACAAAUAUUAUCAAUGCAGACCAAAAGCAGACCCACCUGACUGUUUUCUCUCAUAUAGAUCAGAGUUUUAUUGUGUGAAAGAUCUAACCAUCAGAUUGAUUGAGACAGUGUAAACUGGAGAAUACAUGGCAAUACUGCAGUACAGAUAUCUUAAUGGGAAGCAGUGAAAGAGGACAUUGAGGCAGGGAGAAAAGAGAAGAGGAAAAAAAUAGAUGAGUAUCAGAAAAUAAAAUGAUUAACAUUAGCAUCCAAGUACCUGAAGUAGACUGUAGUCAUACAAAAGCUCAACUAGUCUUAAGAUUCACAAGUAAGAUUAUUAUGAAUAUAUCAAUUAUGUCUUUAGAGCCCUUGGCCAUUGAAGCAGGAUCAUCACCAAGAUAGGACUAUAGGGUAAAGUGUCCUGGAAGACUUUCAAGCACAGAGUAGCUAAUCUUUUAUAUGCUGCAGAAAUUGAAAUAAUACAUAUUAUAUAAUGGCCUCUACAUCUGUAAAGCUCACAAACCAAAAUGAUUUCAUUGCAGGAUUGCCAGAGCUCUGAGAUGAAUAAAGCCAAAAAGGUAGAUGGAUGUAGAAAGAUUGAGAAAUGGAAUGGAAUCAACAGAGAGAAGAGAGACAGAGGACAAAGAGAAGGAGGGUAGAAAGAGGAAAACAUAGUCUCUAUGAAGGCACAAACAAAAACAGGUAAGCAUGAAGAAUCAGUGCAAAGGAAAAGAAAUGUACUAAAAAGAAAGAACGAGCAAGUGUCCAUGAACAGAGAAGGAAGUGAAUAAGCAAAAGACAGAAAUUUUAAAGCAAAGAUCAGGAAUUGGAAGUAAGCAAAAUGGGUAAAUUCGAAAGUCCACAAGAAUUUGGCCAUUCAACAAGGCCGUUCAACUCUUAUUUCAUUAGUAUGUAAAGAUGGGGAGAAAGAGGAAAUAUGAAAGAUAAGAAAGGAGAAAGGAAGAGAAAGGAAAAAAGAGGAGAAAGAGAAAGGAAGGAAAGGAAAAGAAAGGAAACUGAGCAAAAGCAAAGAGAAUGUAUUGGGUUAGAGAAGGAGAAAUGGCUUUGAACAUUCAAGAGAAGCAGAAAGCAAAAAAAUGAAAACAGAAGAGUGAAUAGAGAGUAAGUUGUUUUUGUCGACUGAAUUCACAUUCACUAUUAAGUUUAUGCUAAUUCUAUUCUCCACACUUAAUCAAAAUUUAAUUCAAAUCAAUAGCAUCCUUGUCACUGGUGCUGGUUCCUCCCUCCCCCACCCCAAGUGUUGCCUUACUAAGGGAGAUAAUAAAAAAAUGGAAACAGACUAGGAGAACACGAACAAGGAAAUAAAAGAGAGGAAGCAAAAGAGAGGAAAAAAAGAAUACUAAUUCUAAAAGUAGUUCUUACGUUGUAGGAAAAAGUUGAGGACAACCCCUGGAAAAAAAUGGAAGAUAAGCGAACAGAGUGCAGAUGGUUGGGCAAAUAGAGCUAGAGUAAAAAAGGAAAAAGCACAGUAUCACACAAUAUUAAAAAGCACUGUUCAAUAUAAAUGUAUGAAUGCAAUUACAGACAGAAAAUGAUCAAAAGAAUUUUGAAAAUAUAGAUUUAGACAAGGCUGGUUUUAUUAAGGAGAUGAUUUAAAGCAGAUGACUGGAGCAUCAUGAGUGAAAGUCUUGGGGGGAAUCAGUGCAGAAUUAAAUCAGUGCAGGGUGUAGGGAAGAUGGAGAGAAGAAAAGGCAGGCAAGAGAAGAAACUACCUGGGCUUUAUAUAGAUUCUAUAUAUAGGAACAUUCUAAAUGCAAAUAAUUUUCUGAGUAUUAAUAAAAUACUUUAGUCCUGAUGCAGCAAUGGUAGCUUGAUAAUAGCACAAAAGCCACAUAGUUACAGAGCAGAACAGAAAUAUCCACUUGCAGCUGCUUCUCAAUGAAGUGACAAAAUUGAUUAGAACAUAUAUAGACAAAUCAUGACAAGCAAAUGGUGGAAAGGCUUUAAGGAGAGAAGAAAGAAGAAGAUAUGGCAAGCAAGACAAGUGUGCAAAAGAAGAAAAUACAUACACAGUAUUGCAGAGGUAAAGUCAGCAAGCGGUUAAGUUAAUAUAGGCACAGACAACAGGAAGUGAAAAAAAGUGAUGGCCUCAGUAAAGACAAGAUAAACGUUAGUACCAACUACAAGACCAAAUUAAAAUAUCACGGCAGUCAAGCAGCAGAGGAGGGACAAAAUUAUGUGAAUAGAAAAAAGAUAAUGAAAAAGAAGAAGGCAAAAGUGGGAAGAAUGAUACUUAUUGGGCUAUGAAAUGUAACAUUUUUAAACUGUGUUGGGACUACGAUUCCAGUUGUUCUCAGUUAGCAAAGGGGGGAUGGUUUCUAGAAAUGUGAGUUGUAUUGCAAAGCACACACCCAUUGCCUUACUGUUAGCUUCUGGAUUGCAUCUUUCAAGGGGAAGAGAAGCAGAGAUACAUGUAAGAGUGCACAUAAUGCUACUGUUUUUUUUUUUAUAAUAUGGAAAGAUUAAGGAAAUUGAAAAACAAGGAUGGGGAAGGAGAUAUUGAAAAAAACCUCACUUUGAUCCAAGAGUAGGACUUGGAGAAUUCCUAAUGAUUAAUCAAUAUCGGCUUCCCCGGAAUUUGUUAUUGCUAUUUCAUAAAAGGUGGUCACUCUUUUGUCUUGUACUGUCCAAUCAGGGAAGCCCUUGUCAGAGCUGCUGUGAAAGUGUAAAGGAGGGAGGAAAGGAAGCGGGAGGGGGAGAAAGAAAAAAAGAGAAAAUGAGGAAAGGAAGGAAGAGACGGAGGGAGGGAGGAUGGAUUGUAUCUUUCGACUACUUAUUAUAUAUCUUGGAUUACUGAUAGACUGACAGAUCCUCAAACCACAAAGAGAAAAAAAGAAACUGAAAACAAGCACAACUCAGAGAAAGAGAAGAAAAAAAAAGAAUGCAAAAAUAUGUGGCAGGCAGGCCCAGCACAGCAAUUACAAUCCAGACAAGAUGGAAAUUUCUUUGCCUAGUCGACCCUCUCAUUUGUGAGGAAUAAUGGUCCCUUACUAAACAGAAUGUAAAGGAGAAGCAAGUAUGGUAAUUCAUUUUGCUUUGCUCUCUUUUCCCACAUUCUGCUCUUUCAAGACUUCUCCAGCUGGCUUACUUCAAUACAGGAACAGAAUCAGAGACAAGGGAAGAGUUCAGCAGAAAAACAUGAAGAUAAAAUGGCGGAUUAUUAUUAUUAUUAUUUAUUUAUUUUUGCUCUGCCUUCGUGAUAACAAAUGCUUCCUUUCUCUCUCUCUUUACAUCACAAAGGGUUAGAUAAAGUAAAAAGCCUAGCUUUUUGGAGAAGAAAAAAAAGAAGCAACAAGAAGAAAAUUGCAGUUAAGAAUAGCAAGCGUUCAAUGGCCAGCUAAGAGACUAGAGGGGGUAAGAUUCAGCCUAAGCAAGAAAAAAGAAGAAAGAUCAGUGAGUCAGUCACCAAACAUGUCUUGGUAACGUCUUUUUUUUUUUUUUUUGCUGCUGUGUAUACCAAAUCCCCAUUAUACUGCCUCCAUCUUGUCUCCAGGCUAUGAGUGAGAUUGGCUUAAAUUGUUUUCAGCUGAACUGGACGUAGACGUAGGUCUUUCCCCAUUGUUCAGUUGUAAUGCUAUCCCUCAAUCUGUAAAGCAGCAGAAAGUUAUAUUGGCAUAAAACGGGUUCUUCUCCUUGCCUGUCUCUAUUCUUCCUGUUGCCUUUCUUCCUGCUCAUGCCAGCCCAUCUGGCUUUCCUCCAAAAUAACAACACGACAGAUUUCCCAAUUUGAUGUUGCACUUGAUGGGGCAUCUAAAGGGGGGAAACAUCCCUGUCUUAUUCAUGGAGAUGAACAAGGGGAAGAGAUGAGGGCAAAGUCACAGUUUCAGCAAGCAUAAUUGCUGUAGAGCAGUUCCAUUGAGACAUGCAUAGCAGCGCCUAAGGUUCUCCUAAAUGUAUGUGUUUGAGAUUUUUGCAGGGAAAAAAAAUCCUUAAAUACGUUUCCUCCCACUACCUUUUCUUACGUGGAAAACAAUACCAGAGCAUAAGCAUUCAGGCAGGAAAUGUCCUAUUUUGCAGUCUUUGCAUGUCUUCAAUUUUACAUCUUACAUAGACAUAUUGGAUUCCUAACAUUAGAUUAUAAAUGCUCAAGUCAACAGGCACUUGAUGCCUUGUUUGAUCAAAAGCUUUAGAAAUGGGACAAGAAGAAGAUAUUACCAGAGCAUGUUGUGUUAUGUUUAGGUGCAAGUAGGAACAGUAGGAUCUGGCUAAUGCAUGCAAAAUGCCAACCAACCACUGGCAUGCAUGCAUGUCACUGUCAAAAGACUGCAAAUAGAUGCAAACAAAACAAUAAUGAGGCUUAAAUCAUCAAACAUAUAUCUGGAUUUCCAUCACCAUCUUCCUCCACUGGUGAAAUUAAAAACCAGUCUGGCAUACAGAAAACUAACUGAAAUCUAGAUAGAUCUCAUUUGAUAGAGCCAUAGGUACUUCCCACAGUUUAGAAAGUGCCCAGUGUCACUUUGGGUAGCAAAAUUUAUAGUAUAUAAAUUUAUAUUUAGAUAUUUAGAUAGAUAGAUAGAUAGAUAGAUAGAUAGAUAGAUAGAUAGAUAGAUAGAUAGAUAGAUAGAUAAAGAUUAUGUAUGUACGUACACACAAACACACACAAGCAUUCUACACUGUGCUUUUGCUAAAUAAGAGGAACAAGGGAAGCAAACAUGGGAUCAAGAAAAGGGGAAGAUUCCUGGAAAGAAAGAGAAAAGGCAAGAAUGCAGAAGUAAAAAAGAAACUAGGAGAAGCUGAGCAAGAAAGAAGAAGCAGUGAGAGUUCAGGGAGAAGCAAGCUGGAUAGCAUAUAGCAAAGCUAGAAAGAGAGAGAAAAACAUGCCACAAGUACAUUUCCAGGGUUAUUUAAAUUUGGUGCAAUACAAAAUGACUUCUAAACUUCAUUUUUAAAUACUGAUUGUUCCUAUGGACUAUAGGAAGAACCUGCUCCAAGACGAGAAGCAUUUUGGCAAGAAAGGAAGUGUUCAAAGUUCCUUAGCUCUAAAAUGGAUUGGAGAAUGUGUAGCCCUUUGUUCUUGAAUUACAACUCCCAUUCAACCAGCAUCACAAAUUAUGAAUGCUGAGAGUUGCAGGCUUAGCAACAAGGUCCCAAGAUGAACAAGAGAUAGUCUCAUUCUUUCAUACAGCAGUUAAUAUAGUUAUAAUUAGGUAUAUUGUAAGAUACCAAACCUAAGAAUUCACCCAAAAAUGCAUUCAGAAAUGAAGCUGUAGAGAGAAAAGUUAGCUAGCAAGCAAGAAAGCACAUGUGAAAAAAUAAGCAAAGAAAGCAAAGAGCCAAACCAGAAAGAAUCUGCAAGCAAUCAAAGAACACACAGAGAGAAGAAACAGUGCAGCUAAACUCCAAGAAGCUGAGGAACAAACCAGAAAGCAACACAGAACCACAGCAGUUUGUUUGGUCUGAUCUUCGUUAUUACGCAAAGCACAUUGUAAACAAAGCUUUGUUGUCCAUGUGUUGUGUGAACUGAGCCAAUUGUAGUUAGUUAAAUAAACAGUGGCUAAGCAAACCAUGGUUUAAUUUGGUGGGUUAACCUGGGAACUGUGUGAGCCCCUCAGCUGGGGAUUAUAAGCAAUAGAUAAAAUCCGAGAAAGGAGAGGGAAAAA